RNAcentral lists this unclassified non-coding RNA (204 nucleotides) under soil metagenome. Its description in RNAcentral is "partial contains 5.8S ribosomal RNA, internal transcribed spacer 2, and large subunit ribosomal RNA". The record is from RNAcentral.
AAGACUAUAGACCUGCGGAGUACCUGCGGAAGGAUCAUUAUAGAGUUUUCUAAACUCCCAACCCAUGUGAACUUACCUUUUGUUGCCUCGGCAGAAGUUAUAGGUCUUCUUAUAGCUGCUGCCGGUGGACCAUUAAACUCUUGUUAUUUUAUGUAAUCUGAGCGUCUUAUUUUAAUAAGUCAAAACUUUCAACAACGGAUCUCU